GAUGAACGCUGGCGGCGUGCCUAAUACAUGCAAGUCGAGCGAACAGAUGAGGAGCUUGCUCCUCUGACGUUAGCGGCGGACGGGUGAGUAACACGUGGAUAACCUACCUAUAAGACUGGGAUAACUUCGGGAAACCGGAGCUAAUACCGGAUAAUAUAUUGAACCGCAUGGUUCAAUAGUGAAAGACGGUUUUGCUGUCACUUCUCGAUGGAUCCGCGCCGCAUUAGCUAGUUGGUAAGGUAACGGCUUACCGAGGCAACGAUGCGUAGCUGACCUGAGAGGGUGAUCGGCCACACUGGAACUGAGACACGGUCCAGACUCCUACGGGAGGCAGCAGUAGGGAAUCUUCCGCAAUGGGCGAAAGCCUGACGGAGCAACGCCGCGUGAGUGAUGAAGGUCUUCGGAUCGUAAAACUCUGUUAUUAGGGAAGAACAAAUGUGUAAGUAACUAUGCACGUCUUGACGGUACCUAAUCAGAAAGCCACGGCUAACUACGUG
RNAcentral lists this ribosomal RNA (497 nucleotides) under uncultured bacterium. Its description in RNAcentral is "partial 16S ribosomal RNA". It matches the Rfam family "Bacterial small subunit ribosomal RNA", at positions 28 to 507 of the family's 1533-position model. The record is from RNAcentral.